UGGUGAUAAAAAAUGGUUGCAGGUGGCGGCGGAGGAUAUGGUGCCGCUGGGGAAGGAGAUGAUGGUGAUGUGAAUGAUAGCACAAGGAGUUGGGGAGCUUUCAGAUUUGUUCACUUUGCACUUCUGUGGAGGUGAAAGCAGAAGUUGUUGUUUGCCAUCUCCAUGUUGCUAUGCUAUCAAUUGCAACAUUCCAAAGAGGCCCUUUGGAUCUGUUCUUUCACUCCCAAACUUUUGCUGGCAUUGAAGCUGAACAACAACAAAAUCUCUGCUGAGAUUCCUCCAUGCAAUGGAUAGUUUGAGGAUAUAGCAACAACAGAAACUCUGGGGAGGGAUCAUACCUUGCAAGUCGUUGGAAGUUGUCGAUUUGAGCUCUCUCAACGAUGCUGUAUCCACAUGGUCCUAGCUUGGAUUUUUGUCCAUCUCACAUAGCAUGUUGCAUGGAUCCCUACCGAGCUGGGAUCAUCCCACAAGGCAGGGCUACUGAGGGCAUUUGCAGGCAACCCGAGUCUCUGCCACAAGGAGUCAUCAUGCAAUGGGAAGGGACAGCCUGCGAUGCUACUUAGAUAUGGGAGUGAACAGGGACCGACUUCAGUGAGGAUUUUCCCGAGAACUAGUGGUUUUUAUGGUGGAAAACAAAGGAUUUGGAUCCCUUGCUGUGAAGAGAAGCAAAGAUGUCUCUCACAAUUUCUAUCCGAUUUGUGCAUCUGUUGAAUAUGUGCAGUGAUUCAUUUUUGAGCUCUGGUUCUCUGAAACUAAAAUGUGUAUAGGCUUUGAUUUUCAAUUGUGAAUGGAGUAAUGUUGUCCAUAAUGUUCAGGUCACAUUUUGUACACACACUCCCUUCCCAAUUCUGCAUCAAGAAACUCCCUUUGUGUUCGAGCUCUCACUUUUGAUUGUAAUUUGUAGUUAGUUUACUU
Molecule: non-coding RNA, 915 nt
Organism: Salvia hispanica
Lineage: Eukaryota; Viridiplantae; Streptophyta; Magnoliopsida; Lamiales; Lamiaceae
Source: RefSeq, a predicted model, not a curated record